GGUGACCAAUAAAAUUCUGAACCUCAAGCUACAUUUCAACUACUUUCACUAAAAUCAAGCUAACUUGUAUAACCUCAUAAGAAUCAUCAAUCCAAAACACUACACAAAAUGGGUUGCAAGAUAAAUUCAUUUCCUCCAAGCAUCUCAAAAAUAUUCACCAAAACACCCAAACUAACUUCAAUCCAAACAAAGCAAAAAUCCUUUCCCAUAGUUUCCUCCUCUCUUAGUCAAAACCAUGAAGAACCAAUUACUACUACAACACAAACUCAAGCAUCUCCAAAAACUAGUAUUUACAAUGUAAAUUUCAUUACUCAAAACUCCUGCAAACUUGGGAUUUCAAUAUUUCCUGAUUUUGUAUACAAUGCUGAAGGCGGUAUAGGAGUUGGAAUGGGUACUAAAAAUGAAACAAACAGUUCAAAUGAAGUUUCAAUUAAUUUUGAUAUUCAGACACUUUAUAUUCCACCAUUAAAUUCUAAGACUACCACGUUCUUAGGAUUGCCAUUGCCACCUUUUCUGAAGAUUGAAAUUUCUCCAGAGCUUUUUCAAGGCAUAAUCGAUGAAGAAACCGGAAAGGUUAAUCUUGAAUUCAAGGCCAAGUUUUGGUUUUCGGUUGGCAGUGUUUAUAAAGCUCCUCCGUUGAUAGUUUGGACGGUAUUGACGUCUGAGGAAUCAGUGGGAACUAUGAGAAAAGGAAGAGGAGAAAGAUUGAGUAAAGAAGGGAAAUGCAGGUUAGUUGGAGUUGCGACUGUCCAACCUAUCGAUGAUAUUUUCAUGAAUACGUUUCUCGGUCUUCCUACUGAAUGUCUUGCCGAUAUGAAUGCUACCAUCGCCAUUUCGAGUUCUUAGUUGCAAGUUGAAAGCCUCGAGCUUCAUUACUUUAGACUGUAAACAUCUUCUUACACAAUGGAGCCUAGCAUUUUGUUCGACACACUGGAAUUCGUAAACGGAAUUAAUGGAGAUUGUAUAUCCAUUGUAGUCGAAAAAAUCAUAAAAGAUAAUCCCCAGAUUGUUUCAUUGUAUGUUUUGCUUAAGAUGCAUUCAAAUGAAAUCACAUAUAUUCAACAAUGGUUUUCUA
Molecule: RNA transcript, 1075 nt
Organism: Papaver somniferum (opium poppy)
Lineage: Eukaryota; Viridiplantae; Streptophyta; Magnoliopsida; Ranunculales; Papaveraceae
Exons: 3
Source: RefSeq, a predicted model, not a curated record